Molecule: long non-coding RNA, 1230 nt
Organism: Eriocheir sinensis (Chinese mitten crab)
Lineage: Eukaryota; Metazoa; Arthropoda; Malacostraca; Decapoda; Varunidae
Exons: 3
Source: RefSeq, a predicted model, not a curated record
AUGUAGCUGCGUGAUGCAAGUUUAGGACCGAUUUACAUUUGUCGAGUCUAAACCUGGGCCCGUAUCCUCGAGAGCUAUUAACUUUUACUCUUAAAGUUACUAUCAAAGUUAAUAGUUUCAAAUUAUUAAGAGUAAAAGCUAUCCUCGUCAACUUUGAGUGUAGGUAUUAGCAAAUCCCUGGCUACUAUUAUCUUCUUCUUCUUCUUCUUUAUGGCGGGCUCGUUGCUAAGGACGCCUCCGUGCAAAACGUAAACAUCCGACAUGAAUUAAGUAUAUAUUUCAAAAGAAAAAUAAAGAAAAGAUGUAUAAAUGUACAACAGAAACAUAAUAAAUGGCAAACACAAGAAAAUACUGAGUUUUGUGGCAGAUAGAAGCAGCCUCAAAGGCUGUUUUUACUCCGUCACUCGUCAAUACCCUUAUCUCCCCGCCUGCGUCACGACUUGCUCUGCUGAAAUUACCGCACCAUAACCACGUCAUCUGCCCCAAUGAUCUACGGGCCGGAGAACCAGCGCAGAAAAGGAGUAAGUUUAAUUGGUCGCCAGAUGAAACGGUCUUCUUACAUCAAAUUCAAGAAAAAAUACGUAUAAUCAGAGGGUGUUAUGGGAAGAGUAUCACCCUGAGGAUAAGAAGAGCGUGGACUGAAGUGGCAGAAGCUGUAACAAGUGCCUUCCCUGGGAGUGGACCCCGUACGCAGGAUGACUGUGAGAGGCGUUGGUACAACGUACAACAAAAAUCAAAGCCUUGCAUUGCCAAGUGCAAGAAUGAGCAGCGGCAGACUGAUACACACUUUAUCAGUAUUGCUAGAGACCAUCCCAGCACAUUGUUCAUUACUUGUGGAAAAUAUACCAUUAGCUGCUCCGGCAACAGCCACUGCUUCAAUAUCUGCUGGCCCUAUGACACCAGCCACUGUUUCAUAAUCUGCUGGCCCUAUGACACCAGCCACUGCUUCAUCAUCUGCUGGCCCUAUGACACCAGCCACUGUUUCAUCAUCUGCUGGCCCUAUGACACCAGCCACUGCUUCAUCAUCUGCUGGCCCAAUGACACCUGCCACUGCAAGGGAUGACAAUGAAGCUGCUCCACCAGUCACCACCUACUUCAUCGGAGUUAAGAGAUGCCUUUCAUAGGGCAGCAGUAUAAUUUUUUGAUGCUGGGGCUGAAUAUUACUGCCUCAAGGCUAUGAUUUUGUCACUUUUUUUUUAUUACUGAGGAGGUUAGGGUGGAAGGGUGAAA